This 511-nucleotide ribosomal RNA is filed under the name Odorrana nasica (long-snout torrent frog). Its description in RNAcentral is "partial 12S ribosomal RNA". It matches the Rfam family "Bacterial small subunit ribosomal RNA", at positions 794 to 1533 of the family's 1533-position model. Lineage: Eukaryota; Metazoa; Chordata; Amphibia; Anura; Ranidae. The record is from RNAcentral.
GCCCAGCCGUAAACAAUUAACUUACACCAAUAAGCGCCAGGGAACUACGAGCCACGCUUAAAACCCAAAGGAUUUGACGGUGUCCCACCCCCCUAGAGGAGCCUGUUCUAUAAUCGAUGAUCCCCGCUAUACCCCACCACCCCUUGCUCGUCAGUCUGUAUACCUCCGUCGAAAACUUACCAUGUGAAUGCACAGUAAGUUCAAUGACCAUAUCAAUUGCGCCAACACGUCAGGUCAAGGUGCAGCUUAAGGAGUGGAAAGUUAUUGGCUACAAUUUCUAAUCUAGAACAAACGAAAGGUCAUGUGAAAUCAUGGCCACGAAGGCGGAUUUAGUAGUAAAAAGAAAAUAGAGUGUUCUUUUUAACCCGGCUCUGGGACGCGUACACACCGCCCGUCACCCUCUUCAAUAGUAUCACCUUAGUUCCAACCUAUUUUUACAUCUCAGAAGAGGCAAGUCGUAACAUGGUAAGUGUACUGGAAAUGUCACUUGGUAAAACAAAAUGUAGCUUAA